GCCGGUGUAGCUGAGUUGGUACAGCAGGGUCCUUGUAAGACCAAGAUCGCAGGUUCGAGUCCUGUCAUCGGCU
This 73-nucleotide transfer RNA is filed under the name Nocardioides albertanoniae. RNAcentral's name for it is "tRNA-Thr". It matches the Rfam family "tRNA". From Rfam's summary of the family: Transfer RNA (tRNA) molecules are approximately 80 nucleotides in length. Their secondary structure includes four short double-helical elements and three loops (D, anti-codon, and T loops). The record is from RNAcentral. Lineage: Bacteria; Bacillati; Actinomycetota; Actinomycetes; Propionibacteriales; Nocardioidaceae.